RNAcentral lists this ribosomal RNA (253 nucleotides) under uncultured bacterium. RNAcentral's name for it is "partial 16S ribosomal RNA". It matches the Rfam family "Bacterial small subunit ribosomal RNA", at positions 524 to 776 of the family's 1533-position model. The record is from RNAcentral.
UACAGGGGGUGCAAACGUUGCUCGGAAUCAUUGGGCGUAAAGCGCACGUAGGCGGUUCGUUAUGUCGGAUGUGAAAGCCCUUGGCUUAACCGAGGAAGUGCAUCCGAAACUGGCGAGCUAGAGUACGAAAGAGGAUCGCGGAAUUCCCGGUGUAGAGGUGAAAUUCGUAGAUAUCGGGAGGAACACCGGUGGCGAAGGCGGCGAUCUGGGCAGAUACUGACGCUGAGGUGCGAAAGCGUGGGGAGCAAACAGG